AUGGAAGACUAUAAUCCCUGUGGGAAAGUUCCUGCUAAUCCAUCCCUCUUCCCAGGUGUUGUGCCUUCCUCGCCUCCGCCUCUUCUCCCUGUCCCCUCUCCACUCAGAUCCAGUCCCAAGAGGCUGCUAGAGUCGCUGUUUGGGCUUCCGGUUCCGCCAGCGAAGAAGGCCAGCAUCCAUGGAGGUCGUGGGAGGGCAGAAGAUCAGUCUGAUUCGGUGCUCGGAGCUCCGCCUGUUAGGCAAGUUCUCUCUCCACAGCCAUCUGCAACUAGUGGUAUGGGAGCCUUCACAGUGCCUGUUAGUCCAGGGAGAGGAAGGACUUUGGACGGUUCUUCGCCUUUUGGAUCCGCAACAUCUCAGGGUGGCUACCAUCGAUAUCGCUAUAGCAGAUGGGAUAUUCCUCCGGCCAGGGGAUAUGGAGGUUUGCGUUCCAAUAUGCAUGGGGUUAUGCACAAUCGCGCUUGUUCCUCCACUUGGAAGCGUGAUGCAUGUUGA
This 495-nucleotide ribosomal RNA is filed under the name Triticum aestivum (bread wheat). Its description in RNAcentral is "partial small subunit ribosomal RNA". Lineage: Eukaryota; Viridiplantae; Streptophyta; Magnoliopsida; Poales; Poaceae. The record is from RNAcentral.